AACGAACGCUGGCGGCAUGCCUAACACAUGCAAGUCGAACGAGACCUUCGGGUCUAGUGGCGCACGGGUGCGUAACGCGUGGGAAUCUGCCCUUAGGUUCGGAAUAACUUCGGGAAACUGAAGCUAAUACCGGAUGAUGACGUAAGUCCAAAGAUUUGUCGCCUAAGGAUGAGCCCGCGUUGGAUUAGCUAGUUGGUGAGGUAAAGGCUCACCAAGGCGACGAUCCAUAGCUGGUCUGAGAGGAUGAUCAGCCACACUGGGACUGAGACACGGCCCAGACUCCUACGGGAGGCAGCAGUGGGAAUAUUUGGACAAUGGGCGAAAGCCUGAUCCAGCAAUGCCGCGUGAGUGAUGAGGCCUUAGGGUUGUAAAGCGUCUUUACCAGGGAUGAUAAUGACAGUACCUGGAGAAGUAAAGCUCCGGCUAACUCCGUGCCAGCAGCCGCGGUAAAGU
Molecule: ribosomal RNA, 453 nt
Filed under: uncultured bacterium
Lineage: Bacteria
Description: bacterial SSU rRNA
Rfam family: Bacterial small subunit ribosomal RNA
Source: RNAcentral